CUGUGAUCUGGUCGAGGGCGGCGGCGGUCUCUUCCAGCGAGGCGGCCUGCUGUUCCGUGCGGCGCGACAGG
This 71-nucleotide transfer RNA is filed under the name Brevundimonas sp. NIBR11. Its description in RNAcentral is "tRNA-Trp". The record is from RNAcentral. Lineage: Bacteria; Pseudomonadati; Pseudomonadota; Alphaproteobacteria; Caulobacterales; Caulobacteraceae.